This 72-nucleotide transfer RNA is filed under the name Dispira parvispora. It matches the Rfam family "tRNA". Rfam says of the family: Transfer RNA (tRNA) molecules are approximately 80 nucleotides in length. Their secondary structure includes four short double-helical elements and three loops (D, anti-codon, and T loops). The record is from Rfam by way of RNAcentral. Lineage: Eukaryota; Fungi; Kickxellomycota; Dimargaritomycetes; Dimargaritales; Dimargaritaceae.
GGCUCGGUGGUUUAGUGGUAUAAUACUCGCUUAGGGUGCGAGUGGUCCCGGGUUCGAUUCCCGGCCGAGCCC